CUACGGGUUGCAGCAGUAGGGAAUCUUAGACAAUGGGGGAAACCCUGAUCUAGCCAUGCCGCGUGAGUGAUGAAGGCCUUAGGGUUGUAAAGCUCUUUCGCUGGGGAAGAUAAUGACGGUACCCAGUAAAGAAACCCCGGCUAACUCCGUGCCAGCAGCCGCGGUAAUACGGAGGGGGUUAGCGUUGUUCGGAAUUACUGGGCGUAAAGCGCGCGUAGGCGGGCUAUUAAGUCAGGGGUGAAAUCCCGGGGCUCAACCCCGGCACUGCCUUUGAUACUGGUAGUCUUGAGUUCGAGAGAGGUGAGUGGAAUUCCGAGUGUAGAGGUGAAAUUCGUAGAUAUUCGGAGGAACAUCAGUGGCGAAGGCGACUCACUGGCUCGAUACUGACGCUGAGGUGCGAAAGUGUGGGGAGCAAACAGGAUUAGAUACCCUGGUAGUC
Molecule: ribosomal RNA, 439 nt
Filed under: uncultured bacterium
Lineage: Bacteria
Description: partial 16S ribosomal RNA
Rfam family: Bacterial small subunit ribosomal RNA
Source: RNAcentral